UCGGAAACAACCGUCCUACCUUGGUAGGAGUAAGGUCUGCGUACAUUUUACCCUCUCCAGACCCACGUUGUGAGAUUUCACUGGAUUGUUGUUGUUGUUGUUGGUACAAAAGUGACAAAAUUCAUCAAACACAUCCCUAAAAAAUAGGGUUUUCUAUUUGCUUUUCUCUCAUUGUUCGUCUUCUCCACUCCUCCACCGCUAUGUUCCAAUUGCCUUUCAACCAUAGCUUGCUCUCUCUUCUCCUUUGGAUCAUCAAAUUCUUCAUCGAUGACUUUGGAAGUUUGCAUUCAACUCUCAGAAAUGUGUAUUCUGGUAGAGAUCUUUGAGUUCAAGCUGAACUCGUCGAAGGGUUUGAGCCAAGUGAAUCAGUAUUGAAGCUUGUUGUAGGUGUACUUUCUCCCUAUUAGUGCUUCUCUCCUAGCUGCAUCAUUUACUUUCUAUUGUGUUUUUAGCUGAAGCACUAGUGGAGAAGAUGGUGUUGCUCUCCUGUUCUUUCCUUUGAAGCUCUUGAUUGAAUCUGCUCUACAGUUAGUUGAUCCGAUUUCAAAAUCCUCUCCUUUUGUUGGUCCUUUUUAUAAGCUGAAAUAGUUUAUGCUAGGAAGCUUAGUCAGCAUGGCUUUUAGAGGGGAAAAACUUUGCUAUGUAAAUAUUAUAGUUGUGUUUUCUUGAUUUCUUUUGCGACUGAUUUAGCAUGUUAAUGUAAUUUUCCUGAUAUUUAUUUUGAGUGUUGCUAUUUGCUUUUUA
Molecule: long non-coding RNA, 744 nt
Organism: Solanum dulcamara
Lineage: Eukaryota; Viridiplantae; Streptophyta; Magnoliopsida; Solanales; Solanaceae
Exons: 2
Source: RefSeq, a predicted model, not a curated record